GGCGCAGUCCGCGGCAGGGUUCCGGCCGUGCUGCGGUCCGCACGCUGCGCCCGCUCCCGCCUGCCUCCCGCCCUACCCCCCACCCUCCCCGGCCGAGGCCCGGCGCCGGCCCGUCCGCGGGCCCGUCCCACCGCCCUGGAGCACCAUCCGGGGCCGUGGGCCGGGCACCGGGCGCGGCCCGCUCCGGACCUCGGCCGGGGGUCCCUCCCCUCCCCCCGCUCGACCCCCCAUCCGACGGCCCGGCCGGGCUGGGACCCCCGCACCGGGGUCCCGGUUCCCGUCCGCGGCCCGGGGGGACCCGAGCGGGGGCUUCCCACCCCCACCCCGCUCCUCCCCGGGCUCCGGCCCGGGAUCCCUCGCUGCUCCCGGCGACCUCCGCCGGCUUCCCGGUCCACCCGCCGCGGAACGGACGGGACCCGGGGUCCGCGCCCUUCCCCUCCCCCCACGGGGGGCUGGGUCGCGGACCCCGGUUCCUAGGCUCGUUCCGCGGUGGGCGACCGGGGAUCCCCCACCCAGCUCCCCUUCCCGGCCCGCCCCGCUGGCUUUUGGGCCCCUCCGGGCUUUUUUCCGGCUGGGGGUCGCGGCGGUCGGCCGACGACGACGGUAGGUGGGCCGGGUGGACGGUGGUGGGGACGGGCGACGCCCCGGCUCGACGGCAGUCGGUCCCGGAAGGUUGGGGGCUGGGGGCCCGGUCAGGAGCUCCGGGAGCGGGGUCGACCGCGACGGCUUCCGGGUCUCGCGACGGCUCCCUCUCGGCGGCUCCGGUUGGGCUCCCCUCCCCCUUCUCGAGGGUCCGGCCGCCAGUCGUGACCGGGGGUCCCUCGGCCUAGCCGCCGGCUCUCGGGCCGCCUUAUCCUGGGCGUUGGCCGGUCCCGUGACGCUCCCUUCCCCCGCUGCUCCCCAAAAAAGUCCGCCCGAACCGUCGCGGCUUGCUGGCCCUGGGCGUGGUCCCCCACUCCCCUCCCCCCAUCGGCCGCCCAGCCGGGGUCGGCGCCUCGGACCCCACCAGGCUGUGGCGUGUGUGCUGGCCGAUGCGGCGGCGAGGCUGGGUGUGGCCGGAAGCGCUCGGGGUCGACGGUGGGCCGCCAUGACACCUCAAUUGUCGUCAGUACGCCCCUCCACAAUCACCGUCCCCACACGAUGGGCCCGGCAGGUCACCCAACGUUGGUUCAGGCCCAGUCGGGUUUUUCCCCGGCACGAACGCACGUCCCCGUGGGCUCCACGCGUUUUCCACCCUUUCCUGGAGGGGUCCGGAACACCGUGAAUCCACGGGGAGGGUCCCGGCACGGGCCGAGGAGACCACGACCGUCCCACCCGGCGUGUCGACCCGUCCGAGACCCGGGAAGGGAACAGGCCCCACCAUUUUUUUUUCCUUCUCCGAUUUGCCGUGGAAAACCCGUGAACCGAUACGGGUACAGACAGCCGAAAAAAAUUCGAGACGACAAUACGACGGCAGGGCGUGAUUUUCUCCCCCAUCCGACAAAACCGUGUCCCUUAAAAUUCCCCACCUUUCUCUGUUCAAAUGGCCCCGAAACUGUAAAACACCGUUUGACCGCACCCCAACCGGCGCCAUCUUGGUGACCUCGACGGUUCUCUCGCUCGUCAUGCCGUUCUGAGCUCCGACAUGGCGGACGAGAGAAAAUGGCGUCGAGAGCCUAGGAGCGUUUUCGCUCCAGGCGGGUAAAAAAAAUAGCACGAUAACUUUUCUGUGCUUUUUUUGAGACGUUUUAGAAGAGCUUUUUUCUGCUCAGAGCGAAAAAAUGAUAGCCCUGAAAAUCUCGACGAGUCUGGCCGAGCGGCGCCAUCUUGGAGGAGGGGCGAGUCGCGGGCACCGCCUCGGUACCCCCUGGCCGAGGCGAGUCCGCGGUCGCCGCCUGUUCCGUGAUGCUACCUAGAGGGCGCUGUCGAGGCGACUCUUCCUGUUUUCGCCCUGAGGGCUAACGGUCGCUGACGUCAAACCAUCUCGUGCUCGUUGAGUCACAUCCGGUUGUUGACAAGCGAUGGAGGACCGCACCCAAAGUGCGCCCUCUAGUCAUCGCGCCUGACCCCUUUUAUAAACUGCUCGAAGAAAAGAACACCUUAUGUGAAAAAAUACAGAAUGAUGACAAGUUCAUCCAACACAACCGCUCAACAACGCCAUAUCUAUCAGUGUCCAAAAACUAUCUUCUAUCCUUUGAAACUAUAAAUGCUGCCUAUAUACAUAUUUAGUAUCCAAGACUCUUACCACGUAGACGAAAAGAAGUGAUACAAUGAUCUUGACGUGUAUCGUCUAUAUCGUGCUAGAUAUAUUCAGAUAAGACGCGCAAACCAUAGAUUUCUCAUCAGUAUCAUGAAAGACCUAUAGCUCUAUAUACGAACCUAGUCAUUUUAGGACAGCCGCCGGAGAAGCCGACGAGGGAUCGGGCGGGUGCAGCCAGAACCUCACGCCCGAUCCCGCCUCCGGUAGGCGAUUUGCAUCUGUUUGGUAAAAAGCUCAUAAGUCUGUAUGUGACCUAUAUAUAUUAUACGCUAUGUACACCGAACUGUCGCUGUUGUAUAAGAAGAAAAAACUCUCCAUAUUUAUAUCGUCUGAAUUUUUGCUUGAUAGACACGUGUUUGGAACUCUGUCCCCCCACGUUUUCACUGUGUAUAACAAAAAUAUGUGUUUCUCAAAAGAUCUUGAGGUGUUUGAAAACGGGGGAAACCUGCGUUUGGGUGCGCUAAGCCCCGGACUGGGACGUAGCCGGCGUCCGGCACCUAUAUUUUUCUAUUUUUUUUUUUUUUUUUUUUUUUUUUUUUUUACAAAAUAUAUGAUGAACCAAGAAUAAAACUCUAGCUCUCGUCUAUUUUUAAUAUGCUCUACUUAGAACCUUUUUAAUGACAGAAUGAACUCCAUGUUAUACGCUCUUUAUAUAGUUUCUCUGCACUAACCUUUAAAACCGUAUCCUUCCCUGUUGUACAAAUCAUCUUUUGAUACACAAUGAUGACCUGAUAUCCCUCCAUAUAUAUGAUCGGAUAUUAUUCCGUUAGACUUGUCCUCCUUUUUUUUCCUCAUCUCCUGUAUCUGGAGAUAUAUGUUGACCACCACCGCCAUGACCACCAAAAAGCUAGCCGUCACGACUAGAAAUGUGUAGGAUUCGGACUUUCCGUUCGAGAAGAAAGAGACCGCGUCUCUGGACGCUCUUUUUGUCGGUCUGAAUCGACCCGGGAUACGUAAGAGAGCGGCCCUACAUCGGGGGGCGCUCGAGACCGACGACGUUCCAUCUGACCAGAAAAAAAAAAGGCACCCCUCGGUAGCGACCUCUCACCAUCGUUUGCCCGUCCGCCCGUCCUUCGUAGCCAUCAUCAUCAUCAUCUCAGGCUCUAUCGGUACCAUCGUUGUCAUCUGAAAAAAAAAACUGCCUCACCCACCUGCGUAAAAACACCAUCUUUCCGGAGGUGCGGUAAGACGGGCAAAUACGGUCGUGCCGAGGCAAAAAAACGCACCAUCGACACCACACCCUCAUGAGCACCACCUGUCGGUGUUGGUCGUCCUCCAUCGUUCUCUACGAACAUCUCGACGCCCGGGUGACGGACGACGGCAAGACGUCCCGGAGAAGACGGUGUUCUCUCGGGCGGUACGCUCUCUGGAUCUAUAAUAUCUAUAGUAGCUAAACGAGACUGUGAGUACGACGAACCACAUCAUCUUUUUUUUAUGUUGCUUCUUUAGAAAAUGACUUAUGUCGACGACACUCGGCAUCAGCCAUCUCGUGAAACACGCUCGCUUUUCGUCUCUCCAAGGAACACUGGGUCCGCUGAAAGGGACCGUGUACCGACCAAAGCAAAAAACACACACGUAGUAACAUGAUCAACCACGUCUGAAUGACACGAAAACACAAUCGUAUAACGCUCUAUUCAUGGAACGAACUUGGAAUAAAAAAACCAUCGCAGACCAGAGGCUAAGCCGAAACCGUCCGGGGAAGCGGGCGCGAGUUUUCCGACUUAGUCUCUGGUGCUCGUUGAGCCUCUUUUUUUUUCCUGAUUCUCUGAAGAAUCACCGUCACAGCCCUAUGACGCGAAAUCAAUUGCUAGAACAUAAACGUUCUCAACAGGUAUGAAAUGAACAAACUAGAUGAUGCUAUAACCUUAUAUUGUGUGUAUAUAGAUAGGUGUGAAAUUUGUAGGAUAAAAAGUGUCGUUGUAUGAUGCACAACGAUCGUGAAACUGGAGACUGUAGCUCUCUACCGAAUGCAAAUACACAAAUGACAUCGAUUCCCGUCCCCACAUAAAGAAAUGUGCUUUACUGUGAAAGAAUGAAGAAGAUUCUUGUUCCUCGUACGACGGGGCCCUCGCUCGUCGUGCCUCUUCCCCCCUCCGGGAGAGGGGACGUCGGGGCCCUCCGUCGCAUCGGGCCAAAGCCAGUGAAAUGUUUACUACACUGUCAUCAGAAUAUAUGAUGUAUAUUAUUUCCUCCAAACUCCUCACCAUAGCCACCAAUUCGCAUCACUUAAGAAAGUAGUAGCAACCGCGGCGGCGGCGACCGGCCGGUCGUCGUCUCCUCGUCCUCAAAUGUUGUACAUGUGCAGAAAAAUGUGUAAAUACGUGUUAUUUAUCCCAUGCGUCUUGUACAUAGAUAUAUGUUUUUAUAUACGCUAUUUAUACUUUAUAUAUCCUUUUGCAUAACCAUAGACAGUCAAGGAUUUUAAUGAUUUGCUCAUCCGCCUUUGAGCCAUCGCUUAGGAGUUAGUUCCUCUAUGUUCUCGGCCCACCUUUUCGACUACAGUAGCAAACCCUUGUACUACCACCCCGAUAAAAACCACAUCAUCAUCGUCACCACGACCUGGAAACGACACACGUUCCCCCCCCCCCCAAUCUUGGGCAUGUGUAUAUAUAUAAAGAAUGGGAGGGAGAGGACGUGGGGCUCGAGAAGAAAUAAACGCCAAGCUCGAUUCGAACC
Molecule: small RNA, 4915 nt
Filed under: Human betaherpesvirus 5
Lineage: Duplodnaviria; Heunggongvirae; Peploviricota; Herviviricetes; Herpesvirales; Orthoherpesviridae
Description: RNA4.9
Source: RNAcentral